CAACCACGGAGCAUGACAUUGAGGCGUGGCCAAGCUUCUCUCUUGAGUUAGCGUGUUUUCCCUUUGGGUGAAUGUGAGAAGCAUUUGUUCACUCUGAAGUCCAUCUCAGUUCACUGGUCCCCCCACCUACGUUGGAGAGAACCCAUUUCAACAAGGUGUCUACAUACAGCACCCGGUUGAAGACAAACAAGCCCAGAAGAUGAAAAGGGGCCAAGCAGCAUAGGUAUUGUGUAGCAGUGGCACUUACAGAGAGGAACUUUUUUGUACUGCUCUGAAGAUGUUUUUGAGGGCAGAGGCGUGGACAGGCAUUACAGGAAGAACUCGUGAGGUAAUUAGCACUGUACCAUCUGCAGGGACUAUUCUGCAGGCAAGCACUAGAAAGGAAGCAAACUUCAGGGACCCAAUGCAAAAGGGAGAAAAAGAGAAGACCAGGAGGGGCAGAGAGCAUGUAACAAGUGAGGGAAAGAAGGGACAGAGAGAUAGGAGCAAGAUGUUAAAAGAAGGAAAAGGCAAAGGAGGAAACCAUUCCUGUUCUAGGAGAAAAGCUGCCCUAGUUUAAAAG
Long non-coding RNA from Empidonax traillii (willow flycatcher), 562 nucleotides. RefSeq lists it as uncharacterized. The transcript has 2 exons. The record is from RefSeq and is a predicted model, not a curated record. NCBI's taxonomy places the organism in Eukaryota, Metazoa, Chordata, Aves, Passeriformes, Tyrannidae.